GGCUUCAUAGCUCAGUUGGUUGGACCAUCGCACCUGUAUCGCGAGGUCAUGGGUUCAAACCUCAUUGAAGUCC
This 73-nucleotide transfer RNA is filed under the name Acropora cervicornis. RNAcentral describes it as "tRNA-Thr". It matches the Rfam family "tRNA". Rfam says of the family: Transfer RNA (tRNA) molecules are approximately 80 nucleotides in length. The record is from RNAcentral. Lineage: Eukaryota; Metazoa; Cnidaria; Anthozoa; Scleractinia; Acroporidae.